Molecule: unclassified non-coding RNA, 200 nt
Filed under: Cadophora sp.
Lineage: Eukaryota; Fungi; Ascomycota; Leotiomycetes; Helotiales; Ploettnerulaceae
Description: partial internal transcribed spacer 2
Source: RNAcentral
UUAAGUUCAGCGGGUAUCCCUACCUGAUCCGAGGUCAACCUGUAAAAAUAAGGGGUUGCUGGCAAGCAACCUGCCAGACUCAAUCGCGAGGAGUAUUACUACGCGUAGAGCCGACAGGCACCGCCACUGAUUUUAGGGGCCGCGAGACCGCGAACCCCAAUACCAAGCGAAGGCUUGAGUGGUUAUAAUGACGCUCGAAC